Small nucleolar RNA from Nannospalax galili (Upper Galilee mountains blind mole rat), 103 nucleotides. RefSeq annotates it as small nucleolar RNA U13. The transcript has a single exon. The record is from RefSeq and is a predicted model, not a curated record. NCBI's taxonomy places the organism in Eukaryota, Metazoa, Chordata, Mammalia, Rodentia, Spalacidae.
AUCCUUUUGUGGUUCAUAAGCGUGAUGAUUGGGUGUUCACAUGCAUGCGUGACAUGUGCCACCCUCAAACCUUGUUUUGCACCGGCACAUUACUUGUCUGAUG